This 301-nucleotide ribosomal RNA is filed under the name uncultured bacterium. RNAcentral describes it as "partial 16S ribosomal RNA". It matches the Rfam family "Bacterial small subunit ribosomal RNA", at positions 509 to 809 of the family's 1533-position model. The record is from RNAcentral.
CAGUAGCCGCGGUAAUACGAAGGGGGCUAGCGUUGUUCGGAUUUACUGGGCGUAAAGGGCGCGUAGGCGGACUGAUAAGUCAGGGGUGAAAUCCCAAGGCUCAACCUUGGAACUGCCUUUGAUACUGUUUGUCUUGAGUUCGAGAGAGGUAAGUGGAACUGCGAGUGUAGAGGUGAAAUUCGUAGAUAUUCGCAAGAACACCAGUGGCGAAGGCGGCUUACUGGCUCGAAACUGACGCUGAGGCGCGAAAGCGUGGGGAGCAAACAGGAUUAGAUACCCCAGUAGUCCCUGUCUCUUAUAA